AAUUGUUGCCAGCAUUUAGUUGGGCACUCUAGUAAGACUGCCGGUGACAAACCGGAGGAAGGUGGGGAUGACGUCAAAUCAUCAUGCCCCUUAUGACCUGGGCUACACACGUGCUACAAUGGAUGGUACAACGAGUUGCGAGACCGCGAGGUCAAGCUAAUCUUUUAAAGCCAUUCUCAGUUCGGACUGUAGGCUGCAACUUGCCUACACGAAGUCGGAAUCGCUAGUAAUCGCGGAUCAGCACGCCGCGGUGAAUACGUUCCCGGGCCUUGUACACACCGCCCGUCACACCAUGAGAGUUUGUAACACCCGAAGCCGGUGGCGUAACCCUUUUAGGGAGCGAGCCGUCUAAGGUGGGACAAAUGAUUAGGGUGAAGUCGUAACAAAGAGCCCUGUCAC
Molecule: ribosomal RNA, 399 nt
Filed under: Lacticaseibacillus casei
Lineage: Bacteria; Bacillati; Bacillota; Bacilli; Lactobacillales; Lactobacillaceae
Description: bacterial SSU rRNA
Rfam family: Bacterial small subunit ribosomal RNA
Source: RNAcentral